GCCGACGAGCCCGGGGGGCCUCGUGUGUACCGGGAAGGGGCGGGGCUAGUGUCGCCUUGACAACCAUUAGGCCUCCUCCGCCUGGGCGGCGCGGCGACUACAUUUCCCAGAGGGCCUCGCGUGGCGCGGCUUGGGGGGCGGGGAGGAAGCGCCUCGGGCCCAGUGCGCAGGCGUGAGUCCCCUCUGGUUAUAUAAGGGAGGC
Tursiops truncatus (common bottlenose dolphin) is the source of this 202-nucleotide non-coding RNA. NCBI's taxonomy places the organism in Eukaryota, Metazoa, Chordata, Mammalia, Artiodactyla, Delphinidae. The record is from Rfam.